AGCAGCCGCGGUAAUUCCAGCUCCAAUAGCGUAUAUUAAAGUUGUUGCAGUUAAAAAGCUCGUAGUUGAAUUUCGGGAUCAAGUCGUCGGUCGUGCUCAGGUACGUACUGGCGUCAUUGAUUUCUCCCUUCUGACGAACCAUGAUGUCAUUAAUUUGGUGUUAUGGGAAAUCAGGACUGUUACUUUGAAAAAGUUAGAGUGUUUAAAGCAGGCUCACGCUUGAAUACAUUAGCAUGGAAUAAUGAAAUAGGACGUUCGAUCCUAUUUUGUUGGUUUUAGGAUCAACGUAAUGAUUAAUAGGGAUAGUUGGGGGCAUUAGUAUUCAAUUGUCAGAGGUGAAAUUCUUGGAUUUAUUGAAGACUAACUACUGCGAAAGCAUUUGCCAAGGAUGUUUUCAUUAAUCAAGAACGAAAGUUAGGGGAUCGAAGACGAUCAGAUACCGUCGUAGUCUUAACCAUAAACUAUGCCGACUAGGGAUCGGAUGAUGUUAAUUUUUAAUGUACU
This 504-nucleotide ribosomal RNA is filed under the name uncultured Glomus. RNAcentral's name for it is "SSU rRNA". It matches the Rfam family "Eukaryotic small subunit ribosomal RNA", at positions 569 to 1078 of the family's 1831-position model. Lineage: Eukaryota; Fungi; Glomeromycota; Glomeromycetes; Glomerales; Glomeraceae. The record is from RNAcentral.